This 253-nucleotide ribosomal RNA is filed under the name uncultured bacterium. Its description in RNAcentral is "partial 16S ribosomal RNA". It matches the Rfam family "Bacterial small subunit ribosomal RNA", at positions 524 to 776 of the family's 1533-position model. The record is from RNAcentral.
UACGUAGGGGGCAAGCGUUGUCCGGAAUCAUUGGGCGUAAAGAGCGUGUAGGCGGCCCGAUAAGUCCGCUGUGAAAGUCCAGGGCUCAACCCUGGAAUGCCGGUGGAUACUGUCGGGCUCGAAUCCGGAAGAGGUGAGUGGAAUUCCUGGUGUAGCGGUGAAAUGCGCAGAUAUCAGGAGGAACACCAAUGGCGAAGGCGGCUCACUGGCCCGGUACUGACGCUGAGGUGCGAAAGCGUGGGGAGCAAACAGG